CCUACGGGUGGCAGCAGUGAGGAAUAUUGGUCAAUGGACGAGAGUCUGAACCAGCCAAGUAGCGUGAAGGAUGACUGCCCUAUGGGUUGUAAACUUCUUUUAUAUGGGAAUAAAACGUUCCACGUGUGGGAUUUUGUAUGUACGAUAUCAAUAAGGAUCGGCUAACCCCGUGCCAGCAGCCGCGGUAAUACGGAGGAUCCGAGCGUUAUCCGGAUUUAUUGGGUUUAAAGGGAGCGUAGGUGGAUUGUUAAGUCAGUUGUGAAAGUUUGCGGCUCAAACGUAAAAUUGCAGUUGAAAAUGGCAGUCUUGAGUACAGUAGAGGUGGGCGGAAUUCGAGGUGUAGCGGUGAAAUGCUUAGAUAUCACGAAGAACUCCGAUUGCGAAGGCAGUUCACUGGACUGCAACUGACACUGAGGCUCGAAAGUGUGGGUAUCAAACAGGAUUAGAUACCCCUGUAGUC
RNAcentral lists this ribosomal RNA (460 nucleotides) under uncultured bacterium. RNAcentral's name for it is "partial 16S ribosomal RNA". It matches the Rfam family "Bacterial small subunit ribosomal RNA", at positions 338 to 795 of the family's 1533-position model. The record is from RNAcentral.